GAUGAACGCUAGCGGCAGGCCUAACACAUGCAAGUCGAGGGAGAAGCCCUUUCGGGGGCAGAAACCGGCGCACGGGUGCGUAACGCGUAUGCAACCUACCUUUCACAGGGGGAUAGCCCGAAGAAAUUUGGAUUAAUACCCCAUAAUAUUAUUGGAUGGCAUCAUUUGAUAAUUAAAACUGCGGUGGUGAAAGAUGGGCAUGCGUCCUAUUAGCUAGUUGGAGUGGUAACGGCACCCCAAGGCUACGAUAGGUAGGGGUCCUGAGAGGGAGAUCCCCCACACUGGUACUGAGACAGGGACCAGACUCCUACGGGAGGCAGCAGUGAGGAAUAUUGGUCAAUGGACGGAAGACUGAACCAGCCAUGCCGCGUGCAGGAAGAAUGCCUUAUGGGUUGUAAACUGCUUUUAUAUGGGAAGAAUAAGGUGUACGUGUACAUUGAUGACGGUACCAUAUGAAUAAGCAUCGGCUAACUCCGUG
RNAcentral lists this ribosomal RNA (478 nucleotides) under uncultured bacterium. Its description in RNAcentral is "partial 16S ribosomal RNA". It matches the Rfam family "Bacterial small subunit ribosomal RNA", at positions 28 to 507 of the family's 1533-position model. The record is from RNAcentral.